Molecule: long non-coding RNA, 3020 nt
Organism: Malus domestica (apple)
Lineage: Eukaryota; Viridiplantae; Streptophyta; Magnoliopsida; Rosales; Rosaceae
Source: RefSeq, a predicted model, not a curated record
UAAAAAAAUACCAUAACUGGGUCACUCUCUCUCGACCUCACCUCACCGCCCACACUGCUCUCUCCCUGCUCUCUCCCUCACUGUGGAGCGGCUGGAGCCUUUCUUCACCACACAGAGCCACGGCCACCGCUCUCUCUCGCGCUUCUCUCUCUCUCGACUUCUCAUCCCUUCCCUAGUCCCAGUUUUUUGCCCUACCGCCAUUUCUGUUACCCCUCUCUCUCUUUCCUCUCUCUCUCUUUUCUCGCCGCCAUCUUCACUUGGCUCUCUCCAAGGUAUGUGAAGCUUUCAUGUGAUUUCAAUUUUGUUUUUACUUCAACUUCCUGUUUGGUUGCCGAGAAAAUGCUAGGAAAAUUUAGUUUUUGUUAUCCUAUAUUUUAGUUGUCGAGUUCGACGAGCAUCUUUGUGAUACUUACUGUGUAAUGUAAAUUUUGUUUCUUUAUUAUCCUAGGUUUUGAAAUUUGAGCCUUUUUUUCUUUCUGGUUGAAAUUUUAGUUUUGUUUAAUUUCAUUGUUGGGGUUUUAGGGGAAUUAGGGAAUCGAUUAUUUCACCUACUUGUAUUUUAAUUUUAAUUUCUCUGAAUUUUGAGAAACUUCUAGAGAAGUUGUUUGUCUCGGCAACCAAGCAGAGAGUUAGGGUUACGUGUUGUUGGAAUGCUAGAAUUUUGAUCCAAUUAAACCUAGAAAUGGAGAAAUUUCAACUGAUCCAAUUAUCUGCGAUCAGCGCAUCCCGAAAAUUUUCAAUUUGGGAUUCGGAAUACUAGUUUUCGUUUGGUAUACCAUACCAAACCAACCCUAGAUGCAGGUGUUCAUUGAGAUGGUGAGUGUGAUAUGAUCCGAAACAUGCAUAUAUAAUCCAUUCUGAACUCUCGAUCCCUCUUCCUUUCUGUCUCUGCCGUCAGAUUGGAUUGGGUUUGUGCUAACUCCACAAUCACCAAGCUGGUUCUGGGAUUUUUAUUUCGCUUGAAGUUUUCAACGUAUUUGGGACUAAAACUAUAUUAAUAAUUGACUUGAAAUUGGACUUAAAAUAUAAAUAUCUAACAUAAAAAAAAGUUCGGUUUGGUUCUGUUUUUGAACCAUUAAAAUCGAAACCAGACCAAAACAUUUCGGUUUGGUUCGGUUUUGUUUAAUUUGGUUAGAUUUUUUUCGAUUUCGGGUCAGUUUUUUUUCGGUUUUCGAUUUUUUUAACCCACCCCUAAUUCUAGCUCAAUCCUUCUACAUUUCUUUUAUUGAAAAUUCGGAGAAAAUUUUAACGAAGUGUAGUUAUCCACUAUUUUAGUUAGUAACUCAAGUGAUUAAAACUUAAAAGCAUUCAUAUGUGCACUUGAAUGGGUGUUAAAAGCGCGUGUCCUUACAUUCUAAUCUACUAGCCUUGAUGCAUGCAUAAGCGCGUGCAAAUGACAUUUUUUGAAUCACGGAGUGAUACGCGCAACUUAUACAUUUUAAAUGUAUUUAUAUACGUGAAUUGCUUUAAUAAUUUUUUUAUGACAAAAAGUAAGUCAAAUAUUUAGACCAAAUGAAUAAUAUUAGAUCAUGCUAGAAGAAACUUUUCAUAAACCUAUCAAAACAGAUGAAUUCACAAAAUAAAAUCGAUCUUUCAAUUUCCAUCUUCCUUAUAUUGAAUUUAAAUUAAAAAUAAAGAAAACAAUAUUUAAUAAACAAUUGAUUGAAUCACAUUAUUGUUAGUCUAUUGUAAGGUUAAACUCACCCCCUCCCCUUUAGUGUAUAUAACACCGUUUGUUCAAAAAAAAAAAAAAUUAACGAUCAUUUGACAACUAAUUGAAUCACAUUCUUAUGCGAGUGCGAAAAAAUCUUUUUUAUAACUGACACUACAUGCCUCUUAAUUGUUUGAAAUAGAGAAAAUAAUAUUUAAUGAACAACUGAUUGAAUCAUAUUAUUGCGCGUGCGAAAGUCUUUUUAUUACUGGUGGUACGCGUUUCUUAAGAUGUUUUGAACGUGUUUAAAAAUACAGAAAAUAAUAUUUAAUAAACAAUUGAUUGAAUCACAUUAUUGCUAGCUCAUUGUGAGGCUAAGUGUGACAGUCCGUCCUGAAAUAUUUAUUUUCGACGGCAUGAAAUUGCUUAUAUACCCUUGGACGUUUUGUGUGGUGGUGUGGUAGGUUAGAUUUUGGACCAAUUAGUACCAAGUCCUAUUAUUUUGGAACCAAUUAGGACUUAGUUUUGUUUGGUUUGUGACCAACUAGGACCACACACACACAAACACCCAUACCCUUUCUCUCUCUCCCGUUGACUCUCCCUCUCUCUUGGGUUUUUGCCAUCGUCUGUACCAUUGUACGGACCAUCUUCGAACCAACCUGUGUCUUCACAGAUCGAUGUUAAAAAUGUAAUAUUCUUGUUCCCUACAAGCUCCUGAGUCGAUUCGUACUAUUUUUAGGACUUGAAAACUUCGAAAACCCGAGAAACCAAUAUCCCAGUUUUGAGGUACUAUUCAUGUGGUCAUAAUUAUGGAUGUUUCAAGAGAUUUUAAGCUUGGAGGAAGCUUUAGAACGUCUGUAGGAAGCUUGGAGAAGAAACACCAAGUAGUUUGGAUGGCGGGAAGUCGAGUUUGACGAGUUGUAAGUUUUGGCCAAAUUAUCGAGUUCUCUCCGUCGAGAUUCUAUGGAUUUCAAGCCUUGAAAUUGUUUUCCGGCGACGACAACGGUCAUCGGAGUCGAAGGAAGAAGACAAGCGAAUAUUCCGUCAAAGUUGACGGAAUAUUCUAAUAGCGUCAGGUGAGAACUAUCCAGAGGAUGAGCGUAGUCAAGGGCGACUCGGGGGCUAUGACCCUUCGACAUACCAGUUUUAGGUAAGCUUGUCCGUUGGUGUCCCACAAGGAUUGAACGGAGGUUCUGACAAACUAUCACUAUGUAGGACAUCUUUGGGUGUCGUUUAAUUAGUACUUGCUUUCUGGACUGAACUUAGGCUACUCUCGCUCUGAUUGUGUAUUCACACAUAUUCUAGCACUUGUCUCAACUAGUACUCUUAUGAGUUGGUUUUCAUUCUUUAUUUAUCAUUAUUGCUUCUG